CCCCUUUCAGGGUCACACCUGGAGUGUUUCCAGUACUCUAUCAGUCUUGACUAUGAGAGGGAGAGUCAAGCAGAGGCCUACCCAUUCCAUUCCUAGCUUGGGCAGUGGCUAGCCAGUGGAAGAUAAUCUGCCACAAAU
Molecule: small nucleolar RNA, 138 nt
Organism: Ornithorhynchus anatinus (platypus)
Lineage: Eukaryota; Metazoa; Chordata; Mammalia; Monotremata; Ornithorhynchidae
Source: RefSeq, a predicted model, not a curated record